RNAcentral lists this unclassified non-coding RNA (389 nucleotides) under Bombus terrestris (buff-tailed bumblebee). RNAcentral describes it as "misc RNA ENSBTSG00005022963.1". Lineage: Eukaryota; Metazoa; Arthropoda; Insecta; Hymenoptera; Apidae. The record is from RNAcentral.
CACCUGAGCCAAAAUCCUUCUCUCGAUGGCGGUGAAGUAGAGGAAGAAUUUACUGAGGAAAUGAUCGUCUUGCAUCAGCUGAUCCCACGUGGUGGGCGCGACGUAUCCGCCCGUUCCACCGCUCGCCAACGGCACAUUCUUCCCUCGAUUUCUCGAUAUCCUUGCUCUGCCCGGUAUACCGACGUUGCUCAGGCUCUUGUUGUUCACCGAAGAUGGCGAAUUAACAAGAUGUAAUAUGAAAAUUAUUACAAAUGUCUCGAAUAACCUUUUAUUUUCUUCUCUAUGUUAAAUUCAAACAUGAAAGAAAUUUUAUAUUUAUAAAAUGAAUAUCAUUUGAAUCAGAGAAGUUGAAAUUAUAUUAAUAUGAUAAUUUUACGAUAUAAUGACAG